This 82-nucleotide transfer RNA is filed under the name Nanobdellota archaeon. RNAcentral's name for it is "tRNA-Ser". It matches the Rfam family "tRNA". From Rfam's summary of the family: Transfer RNA (tRNA) molecules are approximately 80 nucleotides in length. Their secondary structure includes four short double-helical elements and three loops (D, anti-codon, and T loops). Lineage: Archaea; Nanobdellati; Nanobdellota. The record is from RNAcentral.
GCCUCUGUGGCACAAUGGUACUGCGCUCGUCUCGAAAACGAGUUUCCGAAAGGAUUUCCAGGUUCGAUUCCUGGCAGAGGCG